RNAcentral lists this ribosomal RNA (467 nucleotides) under uncultured bacterium. Its description in RNAcentral is "partial 16S ribosomal RNA". It matches the Rfam family "Bacterial small subunit ribosomal RNA", at positions 28 to 507 of the family's 1533-position model. The record is from RNAcentral.
GACGAACGCUGGCGGCGUGCUUAACACAUGCAAGUCGAACGGAAAGACCCUGCUUUUGUGGGGUGCUCGAGUGGCGAACGGGUGAGUAACACGUGAGUAACCUGCCCUUGACUUUGGGAUAACUUCAGGAAACUGGGGCUAAUACCGGAUAGGAGCUCCUGCUGCAUGGUGGGGGUUGGAAAGUUUCGGCGGUUGGGGAUGGACUCGCGGCUUAUCAGCUUGUUGGUGGGUAGUGGCUUUCCAAGGCUUUGACGGGUAGCCGGCCUGAGAGGGUGACCGGCCACAUUGGGACUGAGAUACGGCCCAGACUCCUACGGGAGGCAGCAGUGGGGAAUAUUGCACAAUGGGCGGAAGCCUGAUGCAGCAACGCCGCGUGCGGGAUGACGGCCUUCGGGUUGUAAACCGCUUUCGCCUGUGACGAAGCGUGAGUGACGGUAAUGGGUAAAGAAGCACCGGCUAACUACGUG